GACGAACGCUGGCGGCGUGCUUAACACAUGCAAGUCGAACGGAAAGGCCCCUUUGGGGGUACUCGAGUGGCGCACGGGUGAGUAACACGUGAGUAACCUUCCCUUGACUUCGGGAUAACUUCAGGAAACUGGGGCUAAUACCGGAUAGGAAUCCUUGCUUCAUGGUGGGGGUUGGAAAGCUUCGGCGGUUUUGGAUGGACUCGCGGCUUAUCAGCUUGUUGGUGGGGUAGUGGCUUACCGAGGCUUUGACGGGUAGCCGGACUGAGAGGGCGACCGGCCACAUUGAGACUGAGGGGCGGCCGAAGCAGGGAAGGGAGGGAGAAGGGGGGAAGAUUGACCGAGGGGCGGCGGCCGGGUGCAGAAGGGCCGCGUGCGGGAAAACGGUCUUAGGGUUGAAGAACGAAUUCAGCAGGAGCGAAGCUUGUGGUGACGGUACCUGAAGAAGAAGCACCGGCUAACUACGUG
Molecule: ribosomal RNA, 465 nt
Filed under: uncultured bacterium
Lineage: Bacteria
Description: partial 16S ribosomal RNA
Rfam family: Bacterial small subunit ribosomal RNA
Source: RNAcentral